CUUUGAUGGAUAAUUUUAGUAUGUGAUGUGUGGGUAUGUUGGAUUAAGCUUUGUAGUUUAUUUUUAAAAUUUUUGUGUGUGGAGCAAAGGAAAGAUGGAGGCUUUAAAUUGUUUUUUUUUGUUUUUUGGUAUUGUAUAUCAUUGGAAGAUUAUUUUAUUGUUUAUGAUUAAUAGAAAUAAAAGGUGGAGGAAUUUUUGGUUUUGCUGUUGUAUAGUGUAAAUUACUGUUUUUUGUUUUGAUAUAACGUCUUUUGUGAUAUCUGUUAUUUUUAUUUUUCUUAGAAAAUUGUAAUUUUUUUAUUUUGUGUUUUGGGAUUUAUAUGAUUUGAAGUUUUUUUGGUUUUAGUGUUAUGACUUUUUCUUUGUUUGUUAUUUUUUGUUUUUGGUUUUAUUAAUGUUUUAAUAAUUAGAUGAUUUUUAAUUUAGUAUAUUUUUAAAUGGGUUUGAUUUUUGUAAAUUUAGAUUUAAGAACUAGGUUUAUGAUCAGAUGUUUAUUAAAGACUGAGAUAUUAAUUUAGUAUUGUCCUCUGCUCUAUGAUGUUUUAAAUGGCCGCCUUAGCGUGAGGGCAUGAAAGUAGCAAAAUAAUUUGUGCUUUUAAUGGGUUCGAGUAUGAAAGGGGGUUUGGUUGUUUUUGUUUUUGUUUUUGUUUAGAAUUAUAGGGAUGUUUAAUAAUUAAUAUUUGUGUUUUAACAAAGAUAAGUCUUUGGAAAUUCUUUUAGUUAUUAUUUUUUUUUGUAUGAUAGUCAUGUUGCUUAGGGCAGGAUUUUUUAUAAAGUAGUUUACUAUGUUUAUGGUAAUGAGUUACUCCGGAGUUAACAGAAAGUUACAUUUUUUCUAGAUGUUAUAGAUAAAAGGGUUUUACAUCGAUGUUGUAUUCUAACUGGCUAAAGGAGUA
Molecule: ribosomal RNA, 896 nt
Filed under: Paraspidodera uncinata
Lineage: Eukaryota; Metazoa; Nematoda; Chromadorea; Rhabditida; Aspidoderidae
Description: partial 16S ribosomal RNA
Source: RNAcentral